AUCUGAAGUCAAGCAAGAGCACGCGCUGAACUUAAGCAUAUCACUAAGCGCAGGUAAAAGAAAAUAACUAUGAUUGCCUCAGUAACGGCGAGUGAACCGGCAAUAGCCCAAGAUGAGAAUCGCUGCUCUGCGAGCACGCGAGUUGUAAUCUAAAGGGUGGUCACUGACUGGUUCUUCUGACGCCCAAGUGUCUUGGAAUAGACCGCCAGGGAGGGUGAAAGCCCCGUACGGUGUCGGAGGAACGCUAGGUGGCCGCUUGAAGAGUCGAGUUGUUCGGGACUGCAGCUCUAAGUGGGAGGUAGACUUCUCCUAAGGCUAAAUAACUAUGAGAGACCGAUAGCGAACAAGUAAUGUGAAUGAAAGAUGAAAAAUAAAUUUCCUUCCGUAAGAACUUUGAAUGAACAAAAGAGAAUUAAAGAGACCUGAAACCGUUGAGGUGGAAGCGAUAGGAAGUUUUCAUUUGGUUGGGAGCUGGCAAAACGGAUUCGUCUGUGAGUUUGCUCCCGGCCGAAGCGGUUGUUUGCCUUUGGGCGCCUCAGAAACCCAUCUGGGCCAGAGCUUCGGCAUCACUUAGAUGGAGAAUGUUGCGGCUGAGGGCAAGGAACCUUUGAUGUUUUCCUACCGACUCGUCUUGAAACACGAACCAAGGAGUCUAACAGACAUGCGAUUAUGUUGGUGCUUUGAAAACCAUACAUGAGCAAUGAAAGUAAGCGGUGCCAAUCGUAAGAUGCAGCAUCGGCCAGUUGUGAUCCUCUGGAGAAGCGUACUGGCUGUGAGCAUAUCUGUUAGGACCCGAAAGAUGGUGAACUACGCUUGAGUAGGGUGAAGCCAGGGGAAACUCUUGUGGAAGCCCGAAGCGGUACUGACGUGCAAAUCGUUCGUCAAACUUGAGUGUAGGGGCGAAAGACUAAUCGAACCAUCUAGUAGCUGGUUCCCUCCGAAGUUUCUCUCAGGAUAGCAAGGACAAUUAAAGCAGUUUUUAUUUCAAUUAGGUAAAGAAUAAAUGAUUAGAAGCAUCUGGGGGUUUUAUUAGUGCUCUCGACUUAGUUCUCAAACUCUAAAUAUUUGUAAUAACUCGGUAUUCCUUAACUGAAGAUCGAGGCAGAAUGCUUGUCCUUAGUGGGCCAUUUUUGGUAAGCAGAACUGGCGAUGAGGGAUGAACCUAACUCUGGGUUAAGGUGCCAAACUGCACGCGCAUCAGAUACCUCAAAGGGUGUGUUGAUUCAUUUAGACAGCAGGACGGUGGCCAUGGAAGUCGGAAUCCGCUAAGGAGUGUGUAACAACUCACCUGCCGAAUGAAUUAGCCCCGAAAAUUUUGAUGGCUCUCCAGCGUGCGACCGAUACCCAGACAUUGCAGCGAAAUUUUGACUGCAAUGAGUAGGAGAGGGCGUAGGCGUCUUGUCGAAGCUUUGAGCGUGAGCCUGAGUCGAAAGGCGUCUAGUGCAGAUCUUGGUGGUAGUAGCAAAUAUUCAAAUGAGAACUUUGAAGACUGAAGUGGAGAAAGGUUCCAUGUGAACAGCAAUUGGACAUGGGUUAGUCGAUCCUAAGAG
This 1550-nucleotide ribosomal RNA is filed under the name Euplotes focardii. RNAcentral's name for it is "partial Eukaryotic large subunit ribosomal RNA". It matches the Rfam family "Eukaryotic large subunit ribosomal RNA", at positions 1 to 1551 of the family's 3401-position model. The record is from RNAcentral. Lineage: Eukaryota; Ciliophora; Spirotrichea; Euplotida; Euplotidae.